AUUGAACGCUGGCGGCAGGCUUAACACAUGCAAGUCGAGCGGAGUGAUGGUGCUUGCACUAUCACUUAGCGGCGGACGGGUGAGUAAUGCUUAGGAAUCUGCCUAUUAGUGGGGGACAACAUCUCGAAAGGGAUGCUAAUACCGCAUACGUCCUACGGGAGAAAGCAGGGGAUCACUUGUGACCUUGCGCUAAUAGAUGAGCCUAAGUCGGAUUAGCUAGUUGGUGGGGUAAGGGCCUACCAAGGCGACGAUCUGUAGCGGGUCUGAGAGGAUGAUCCGCCACACUGGGACUGAGACACGGCCCAGACUCCUACGGAAGGCAGCAGUGGGGAAUAUUGGACAAUGGGGGGAACCCUGAUCCAGCCAUGCCGCGUGUGUGAAGAAGGCCUUAUGGUUGUAAAGCACUUUAAGCGAGGAGGAGGCUCUUUUGGUUAAUACCCAAGAUGAGUGGACGUUACUCGCAGAAUAAGCACCGGCUAACUCUGUGCCAGCCGCCGCCGUAA
RNAcentral lists this ribosomal RNA (503 nucleotides) under uncultured bacterium. Its description in RNAcentral is "partial 16S ribosomal RNA". It matches the Rfam family "Bacterial small subunit ribosomal RNA", at positions 30 to 523 of the family's 1533-position model. The record is from RNAcentral.